AUACUUAUCUGUCAGGGGAGAUUCCAUGAUCAUGAAGGUGAUUUUCCCAGAGUGAGGCUCAUCCAUUGCACUCUGGAUGGGCUGUCCCCUGUGAUGUCCUAUACUGUGUGUUUUGUAGCUGCUGGGGGCUGCAUUUGUGCUUUUUCCUG
Heterocephalus glaber (naked mole-rat) is the source of this 149-nucleotide small nuclear RNA. Its record names the gene U1. It matches the Rfam family "U1 spliceosomal RNA". Rfam says of the family: U1 is a small nuclear RNA (snRNA) component of the spliceosome (involved in pre-mRNA splicing). Its 5' end forms complementary base pairs with the 5' splice junction, thus defining the 5' donor site of an intron. The record is from Ensembl. Lineage: Eukaryota; Metazoa; Chordata; Mammalia; Rodentia; Bathyergidae.